UCCUACGGGAGGCAGCAGUGGGGAAUAUUGCACAAUGGGGGAAACCCUGAUGCAGCGACGCCGCGUGAGUGAAGAAGUAUUUCGGUAUGUAAAGCUCUAUCAGCAGGGAAGAAAAUGACGGUACCUGACUAAGAAGCCCCGGCUAACUACGUGCCAGCAGCCGCGGUAAUA
Molecule: ribosomal RNA, 171 nt
Filed under: uncultured Clostridium sp.
Lineage: Bacteria; Bacillati; Bacillota; Clostridia; Eubacteriales; Clostridiaceae
Description: partial 16S ribosomal RNA
Rfam family: Bacterial small subunit ribosomal RNA
Source: RNAcentral